UUGCAUUCUGCUGCUCUUUACAGUCCUACAAAGAUUAGUUCUCCUGAAACCAUUUCAAGCACCUAUUUCCACCUUUCACCACUCCUCUGCCAGACCUCCUGAGCCUCACCAAGGCCUACACCUUCAGCCUUUACCCUAGACCACAUCCCUUCAUUAUAUUUAUCCCCAAAUCCUUCUUUCCCCUUUCUCUGAGCAGCCUGUUGACUGCUCAGUGUGCCAUCCAAAGUCUUUUUUUGUGUGUAUGUAUUGUUUUUUAUUAGCUAAUAUAUCAUGCUGUAGCUAUAACAUGCAGGGUAGCGUUUCAAUGCAUAAUUUAAAGGCUGGAUGCAUUUGUCUUUUCUCCAGAAAGCUCCUCUGAAUGGUUCAUUCGUGAGUCCAGAAGUUUAUUAUGGAGACAAACAAUAUACCAAGGUUAAAAGUCACCAAAUAUCAGGAGAUGAGCGUAUGAAACAAUGAGGCUUGUAAUUAAAGAACAAACAAACAAAAAUACUGUAUUGUGCAAAAUGAAAGCAAGCUGUUCCCAACUACAAAUGAUUUCUUGAUGUUUCUCUUCAGCUCCUAUGCCUAAGGCCAAAUCAAUCCUUUCAAGGAAUCAUCUACAGGAAGGAUAAUGUUGCUCAAACUCUGACUCAAGGUCAGUCCAUGGGAUACUACUCGCUAGCUGCCCAAAUCCUGCCUUGCUGCUCCUCCUGCUCCGAGGCUGUGUUGCAAAGAUUGUUACUCAUGGUAUGGAUAUGGAUUGAUGGAGCCUAGAGUCUAUUUUGCAGAUAAAAAUUACAUUUCUUACUUCAUGUCAUUCUGCAUGCAGUGAAGGUUCCCUAUGCGUCCAGGAGAAGCAGAUAACAUCAGAGCUUCCCAAACCUUCACAGGGGAUUAAGAGAAGAGAAGGUUUUAGAAAGAGGUUUGUGUUGGUGGUGCCUAUUAGAAGCUAAAUAUCUGGAAUGAUUUGUGGUCUUAAAAUGGUGGGUAUAAGGUUGAACACUUAGUGCUGAACUUUGCAGGUGUUAUUUUAAUAUUCUUAGGA
This 1024-nucleotide long non-coding RNA is filed under the name Phasianus colchicus (ring-necked pheasant). RNAcentral's name for it is "lncRNA (ENSPCLG00000012431.1)". Lineage: Eukaryota; Metazoa; Chordata; Aves; Galliformes; Phasianidae. The record is from RNAcentral.